UCCCAGGUGGCUCAGUGGUAGAGAAUCCACCUGCAAAUGCAGAAGACACAGGUUCGAUCCCUGAUCUGGGAA
RNAcentral lists this transfer RNA (72 nucleotides) under Bos taurus (domestic cattle). It matches the Rfam family "tRNA". Rfam says of the family: Transfer RNA (tRNA) molecules are approximately 80 nucleotides in length. Their secondary structure includes four short double-helical elements and three loops (D, anti-codon, and T loops). Further hydrogen bonds mediate the characteristic L-shaped molecular structure. tRNAs have two regions of fundamental functional importance: the anti-codon, which is responsible for specific mRNA codon recognition, and the 3' end, to which the tRNAs corresponding amino acid is attached (by aminoacyl-tRNA synthetases). tRNAs cope with the degeneracy of the genetic code in two manners: having more than one tRNA (with a specific anti-codon) for a particular amino acid; and 'wobble' base-pairing, i.e. permitting non-standard base-pairing at the 3rd anti-codon position. The record is from Rfam by way of RNAcentral. RNAcentral also lists the same sequence under 4 other names. Lineage: Eukaryota; Metazoa; Chordata; Mammalia; Artiodactyla; Bovidae.